Molecule: ribosomal RNA, 585 nt
Filed under: Saccharomyces cerevisiae (brewer's yeast)
Lineage: Eukaryota; Fungi; Ascomycota; Saccharomycetes; Saccharomycetales; Saccharomycetaceae
Description: eukaryotic LSU rRNA
Rfam family: Eukaryotic large subunit ribosomal RNA
Source: RNAcentral
ACACGCGCAUGCCUUAGUACGGCGAGUGAGCGGCAAAAGCUCAAAUUUGAAAUCUGGUACCUUCGGUGCCCGAGUUGUAAUUUGGAGAGGGCAACUUUGGGGCCGUUCCUUGUCUAUGUUCCUUGGAACAGGACGUCAUAGAGGGUGAGAAUCCCGUGUGGCGAGGAGUGCGGUUCUUUGUAAAGUGCCUUCGAAGAGUCGAGUUGUUUGGGAAUGCAGCUCUAAGUGGGUGGUAAAUUCCAUCUAAAGCUAAAUAUUGGCGAGAGACCGAUAGCGAACAAGUACAGUGAUGGAAAGAUGAAAAGAACUUUGAAAAGAGAGUGAAAAAGUACGUGAAAUUGUUGAAAGGGAAGGGCAUUUGAUCAGACAUGGUGUUUUGUGCCCUCUGCUCCUUGUGGGUAGGGGAAUCUCGCAUUUCACUGGGCCAGCAUCAGUUUUGGUGGCAGGAUAAAUCCAUAGGAAUGUAGCUUGCCUCGGUAAGUAUUAUAGCCUGUGGGAAUACUGCCAGCUGGGACUGAGGACUGCGACGUAAGUCAAGGAUGCUGGCAUAAUGGUUAUAUGCCGCCCGUCUUGAACCACGGACCA